RNAcentral lists this ribosomal RNA (497 nucleotides) under uncultured bacterium. RNAcentral describes it as "partial 16S ribosomal RNA". It matches the Rfam family "Bacterial small subunit ribosomal RNA", at positions 28 to 507 of the family's 1533-position model. The record is from RNAcentral.
GACGAACGCUGGCGGCGUGCCUAAUACAUGCAAGUUGAGCGAUGAAGAUUGGUGCUUGCACCAAUUUGAAGAGCAGCGAACGGGUGAGUAACGCGUGGGGAAUCUGCCUUUGAGCGGGGGACAACAUUUGGAAACGAAUGCUAAUACCGCAUAAUAACUUUAAACAUAAGUUUUAAGUUUGAAAGAUGCAAUUGCAUCACUCAAAGAUGAUCCCGCGUUGUAUUAGCUAAUUGGUGAGGUAAAGGCUCACCAAGGCGAUGAUACAUAGCCGACCUGAGAGGGUGAUCGGCCACAUUGGGACUGAGACACGGCCCAAACUCCUACGGGAGGCAGCAGUAGGGAAUCUUCGGCAAUGGACGAAAGUCUGACCGAGCAACGCCGCGUGAGUGAAGAAGGUUUUCGGAUCGUAAAACUCUGUUGGUAGAGAAGAACGUUGGUGAGAGUGGAAAGCUCAUCAAGUGACGGUAACUACCCAGAAAGGGACGGCUAACUACGUG